AGCUUUGUGCAGUGGCAGUAUCGUAGCCAAUGAGGUUUAUCUGAGGCGCGAUUAUUGCUAAUUAAAUAAUAUAACUGAUCUGGGUUGCUACACUCCUGUUGUGUGGCUGUCGUGUUUUCCUGGGUUUUUGUCC
Molecule: small nuclear RNA, 133 nt
Filed under: Mustela putorius furo (domestic ferret)
Lineage: Eukaryota; Metazoa; Chordata; Mammalia; Carnivora; Mustelidae
Description: U4 spliceosomal RNA
Rfam family: U4 spliceosomal RNA
About the family: U4 small nuclear RNA (U4 snRNA) is a component of the major U2-dependent spliceosome. The structure of U4 snRNA from yeast and human has been reported.
Source: Rfam by way of RNAcentral